GGGGAUGACUUGGAUUCGACGCCGGUGACGAAACCUUGGGUGCAUGCCGUGAUGGCAGCCAAUCACGUUAAUCCAAAGCUGUAUUUUAUUAGUUGCCAACGACGACAACUACGGUGCCCAACUCGCUGCGUAAGCAGCUUGUGAAGCACUAACUAAGGGUUCGCCCUUAGCAGCCUUCAGUAAGGUUCCAGUACCGCGCUGCAGACUGUCAUACAGAACUGGAUCGCCGUGAAAUUUAUCUGAGGUGGAUCGGUUAAAACUUUUUCAGAAUCGUCUGCUACGUCCUGCCCGUUGGGCUGUAGUGGAUUAAAUCAAUAGACGGAACUAAGCAUGUAGAGCCUCAGGCAGAGUGCUGACGGACGCGGGUUCGACUCCCGCCAUCUCCACCA
RNAcentral lists this transfer-messenger RNA (389 nucleotides) under Cellvibrionaceae. RNAcentral's name for it is "Microbulbifer sp007183175 Standard tmRNA". It matches the Rfam family "transfer-messenger RNA". From Rfam's summary of the family: Bacterial tmRNA, also known as 10Sa RNA or SsrA, is named for its dual tRNA and mRNA-like properties. Its role is to liberate the mRNA from a stalled ribosome. To accomplish this part of the tmRNA is used as a reading frame that ends in a translation stop signal. The record is from RNAcentral. RNAcentral also lists the same sequence under 1 other name. Lineage: Bacteria; Pseudomonadati; Pseudomonadota; Gammaproteobacteria; Cellvibrionales.